RNAcentral lists this ribosomal RNA (1367 nucleotides) under Plantibacter sp. TSE8. RNAcentral describes it as "16S ribosomal RNA". It matches the Rfam family "Bacterial small subunit ribosomal RNA", at positions 116 to 1494 of the family's 1533-position model. Lineage: Bacteria; Bacillati; Actinomycetota; Actinomycetes; Micrococcales; Microbacteriaceae. The record is from RNAcentral.
CGUGAGUAACCUGCCCUUGACUCUGGGAUAAGCGUUGGAAACGACGUCUAAUACCGGAUACGAGCUUCCACCGCAUGGUGAGUUGCUGGAAAGAAUUUUGGUCAAGGAUGGACUCGCGGCCUAUCAGCUUGUUGGUGAGGUAAUGGCUCACCAAGGCGACGACGGGUAGCCGGCCUGAGAGGGUGACCGGCCACACUGGGACUGAGACACGGCCCAGACUCCUACGGGAGGCAGCAGUGGGGAAUAUUGCACAAUGGGCGAAAGCCUGAUGCAGCAACGCCGCGUGAGGGACGACGGCCUUCGGGUUGUAAACCUCUUUUAGCAGGGAAGAAGCGAAAGUGACGGUACCUGCAGAAAAAGCACCGGCUAACUACGUGCCAGCAGCCGCGGUAAUACGUAGGGUGCAAGCGUUGUCCGGAAUUAUUGGGCGUAAAGAGCUCGUAGGCGGUUUGUCGCGUCUGCUGUGAAAUCCCGAGGCUCAACCUCGGGUCUGCAGUGGGUACGGGCAGACUAGAGUGCGGUAGGGGAGAUUGGAAUUCCUGGUGUAGCGGUGGAAUGCGCAGAUAUCAGGAGGAACACCGAUGGCGAAGGCAGAUCUCUGGGCCGUUACUGACGCUGAGGAGCGAAAGGGUGGGGAGCAAACAGGCUUAGAUACCCUGGUAGUCCACCCCGUAAACGUUGGGCGCUAGAUGUGGGGACCAUUCCACGGUUUCCGUGUCGUAGCUAACGCAUUAAGCGCCCCGCCUGGGGAGUACGGCCGCAAGGCUAAAACUCAAAGGAAUUGACGGGGGCCCGCACAAGCGGCGGAGCAUGCGGAUUAAUUCGAUGCAACGCGAAGAACCUUACCAAGGCUUGACAUAUACGAGAACGGGCCAGAAAUGGUCAACUCUUUGGACACUCGUAAACAGGUGGUGCAUGGUUGUCGUCAGCUCGUGUCGUGAGAUGUUGGGUUAAGUCCCGCAACGAGCGCAACCCUCGUUCUAUGUUGCCAGCACGUAAUGGUGGGAACUCAUGGGAUACUGCCGGGGUCAACUCGGAGGAAGGUGGGGACGACGUCAAAUCAUCAUGCCCCUUAUGUCUUGGGCUUCACGCAUGCUACAAUGGCCAGUACAAAGGGCUGCAAUACCGUAAGGUGGAGCGAAUCCCAAAAAGCUGGUCCCAGUUCGGAUUGAGGUCUGCAACUCGACCUCAUGAAGUCGGAGUCGCUAGUAAUCGCAGAUCAGCAACGCUGCGGUGAAUACGUUCCCGGGCCUUGUACACACCGCCCGUCAAGUCAUGAAAGUCGGUAACACCCGAAGCCAGUGGCCUAACCGCAAGGAUGGAGCUGUCUAAAGGUGGGAUUGGUAAUUAGGACUAAGUCGUAACAA